Molecule: ribosomal RNA, 900 nt
Filed under: Schizothyrium pomi
Lineage: Eukaryota; Fungi; Ascomycota; Dothideomycetes; Mycosphaerellales; Schizothyriaceae
Description: LSU rRNA
Rfam family: Eukaryotic large subunit ribosomal RNA
Source: RNAcentral
UUGCAUAUCAAUAAGCGGAGGAAAAGAAACCAACAGGGAUUGCCCUAGUAACGGCGAAGUGAAGCGGCAACAGCUCAAAUUUGAAAUCUGGCGCAAGCCCGAAGUGUAAUUUGGAGAAGGAUGCUUCUGGGCAGCGGCCGUUCUAAGUUCCUUGGAACAGGACGUCAUAGAGGGUGAGAAUCCCGUAUGUGACCGGCGCGCACCCUCCACGUAGCUCCUUCGACGAGUCGAGUUGUUUGGGAAUGCAGCUCUAAAUGGGAGGUAAAUUUCUUCUAAAGCUAAAUACCGGCCAGAGACCGAUAGCGCACAAGUAGAGUGAUCGAAAGAUGAAAAGCACUUUGGAAAGAGAGUUAAAUAGCACGUGAAAUUGUUGAAAGGGAAGCGCUUGCAACCAGACUUGGCGGCGGUGUUCCGCCGGGCUUCUGCCCGGUCCACUCGCCGCCGCCAGGCCAACAUCAUCUGUGGCCGCCGGAGAAGACGCGGGGAAUGUGGCUCCCUCGGGAGUGUUAUAGCCCCGCUUGAUACGGCGCGCCGCGGGUGAGGUCCGCGCUUCGGCAAGGAUGUUGGCGUAAUGGUUGUCAGCGGCCCGUCUUGAAACACGGACCAAGGAGUCUAACAUCUAUGCGAGUGUUCGGGUGUCAAACCCUUGCGCGUAAUGAAAGUGAACGGAGGUGGGAACUUUUUGUGCACCAUCGACCGAUCCUGAUGUCCUCGGAUGGAUUUGAGUAAGAGCAUAGCUGUUGGGACCCGAAAGAUGGUGAACUAUGCCUGGAUAGGGUGAAGCCAGAGGAAACUUCUGGUGGAGGCUCGCAGCGGUUUCUGACGUGCAAAUCGAUCGUCAAAUUUGGGUAAUAGGGGCGAAAGACUAAUCGAACCAUCUAGUAGCUGGUUCCUGCCGAA